GUGCAGACGUGUCCUCUUCCGACCAGGUGUUUGCCAGAGCUGUGGUAGCACCAAUCUGCAGGGUUUCCCUGUGUUGCCCCUGAGAAGCUUUCAUUGGUGGGAGGAGCCUACAGUCAGACCAGAUGUCUGCUGGCAGCCCAUGCUGGGGCCACAGACAGACUGGUAUGUGUGGUUUAUCUUCCCCUCUCCCUGGGGCAUGAGUCAUUUUAGAGUGGUGCUUGUCCCUGGCGAGGCUGCUUGCACACUGCCACCCUUGUGGUAUUGCUUUGGAUGGACUCCUCAGGUCUGCAGGAGAGCGUGGGGACAGGGGUGCCAGCCAGGUCCAUGCCAGUCUACUGCAGGAGAGAACUUAACAGCUGCCAAGGAAAACACUUGUCCAGGCUGGGAUGGAGGGGCCGAGUCUAGAGAAGAAUGCAGGGGUAAGGCACCCUGUUAGCAAGCUUAGGUUGAGAGUAUUUGUGCUACGCUGGUUCCCACAGGUUUACUUUCCAGGCUGGGAGUCAGGGGAGGGAAGAGGGAAAUGGUGCCUGCCAGCUCUUUUGUUGCUGGAGAAGUCUCCCAAAGAUCCCUGCUCCUCCAACACAUUCUUUGAGAUUAGUAAACAAAUCUCUUUCCUGUAUGCCCUAGGCAUUUUUCAAACUGCUGGUUCUAUGUUGUAUCUCAUCAGGACUGUUUGUUGUGCUAUCUCUUUUAGGGAAGGGACUCAGUUCCCUUUUGUCCUCCAGCUCUGUCAGCACCAAGCCUGCUGAGUUUUAAAG
Long non-coding RNA from Herpailurus yagouaroundi (jaguarundi), 758 nucleotides. RefSeq lists it as uncharacterized. The transcript is spliced from 3 exons. Lineage: Eukaryota; Metazoa; Chordata; Mammalia; Carnivora; Felidae. The record is from RefSeq and is a predicted model, not a curated record.